This 528-nucleotide ribosomal RNA is filed under the name uncultured Actinomycetes bacterium. Its description in RNAcentral is "SSU rRNA". It matches the Rfam family "Bacterial small subunit ribosomal RNA", at positions 242 to 786 of the family's 1533-position model. Lineage: Bacteria; Bacillati; Actinomycetota; Actinomycetes. The record is from RNAcentral.
CAGCUUGUUGGUGAGGUAACGGCUCACCAAGGCAUCGACGGGUAGCUGGUCUGAGAGGAUGAUCAGCCACACUGGGACUGAGACACGGCCCAGACUCCUACGGGAGGCAGCAGUGGAGAAUCUUGCACAAUGGGCGAAAGCCUGAUGCAGCAACGCCGCGUGCGGGAAGAAGGCCCUAGGGUUGUAAACCGCUUUCAGCAGGGAAGAAGAUGACGGUACCUGUAGAAGAAGGUGCGGCCAACUACGUGCCAGCAGCCGCGGUGACACGUAGGCACCAAGCGUUGUCCGGAUUUAUUGGGCGUAAAGAGCUCGUAGGCGGUUCGGUAAGUCGGGUGUGAAAACUCUGGGCUCAACCCAGAGCCGCCACCCGAUACUGCUGUGACUUGAGUUCGGUAGGGGAGCGGGGAAUUCCUGGUGUAGCGGUGAAAUGCGCAGAUAUCAGGAGGAACACCAGUGGCGAAGGCGCCGCUCUGGGCCGAGACUGACGCUGAGGAGCGAAAGCGUGGGUAGCAAACAGGAUUAGAUACC